Long non-coding RNA from Papaver somniferum (opium poppy), 2677 nucleotides. RefSeq lists it as uncharacterized. NCBI's taxonomy places the organism in Eukaryota, Viridiplantae, Streptophyta, Magnoliopsida, Ranunculales, Papaveraceae. The record is from RefSeq and is a predicted model, not a curated record. The transcript is spliced from 3 exons.
UAUGGUUUCAUAGUACUGGAUAUUUUCUUCCGGGUGAGCUGGGCAUGGCGUUUCUCAGAUCUUGGGAGCAGUUGGAUUCCAUUCGCUUUGUCAGUUGUAGAGAUUUUUAGACGUGCCAUGUGGUUUCCUCUCAGAAUCGAGGGAUGGCAGGUUUCGCUCGGUAUUGGACCCAGAGGUACUGCAGAGGCAGUGGUUGAGGUACCACCUACAGGUGCAGCUGCUAUGGGAGAGGUUGAGUUACCUCCAGCGUUGUAGAUUUUCAGUUGGUAAACUCUGUUGGGUCUGGUGAUGUAAAACUACCACUGUUCCAUUAACUUUUUUGCUCAAAUCAGGAUUUGGGUUCUUACAUCAACUAUUAACACUCACUUUAGAAAAUCAUCUCCCCUGUCUGGGAAGAAAAAAAAUCAUCUGUUGCUUGUAAAGCAGUUUCUGUGGAACCAUCAACUGAAAUUGAAGAAGAUGUUUCUCAGAUAAAAGUAGUAGGGUGUCGAAAAAUUUAUAGCUAUGGAUGCUUUCCACCGUUUCAGUUGGCAAAGAACUCUUGGACCGCUUAUGAGUCACACACCGACUAACCAAGUACUGGCAUGCAUCAUCAACUCUGUAGAGAUUUCAGUCUUGGUGGAGAUAUAAGCUUAAUGGAUCAUGGUAUAGAUCUAAACAUUUCCGAAGAUGUCCAGAUCUUUCACAGUUCAAUCUCCCUGUUUCAUUUCAAAGUGCAAACUUAAUGCGAGCAAGAGCUAGAACUGCACAUUUGGAUUCAGGAAGUCCACCUUCAGACAGCAACCUUAUCCUUAUACAAAGUAAUACUGGUAAGCAUGUGACGAGUCCAAAUAGUCAGGACUGCCCAAUUAUGGUCUACUUCUGCAGGUGCAAGUGCAACUGACUUAUAUGAUCCUUAUCAGCCUCCGAGGUAUAAUACCUGCAGUGAAACAUCUAAUGCAUUAUUAGUAAAACACACUUCACCUCAGAAACCUUUACGCACUCUAUAUGUCGUCAAUUUCAUUCCCCCAAAAAGAACAAUAUAGAACCCAUUCUCUCACAUUUUCAAAAUUGGAGUAGUAGAUCUGUAGAUGACUUUUUUGUAACAACUGAUAGAAAAACAGCCGACGUUCAGUUUUCGAAGAGAGAAGCAGCAGAAGCUGCAAUAAGUUCACCUGAUCCUGUGCUGGGUAAGCACUUUAUCCAGUUAUCAUGGGAUACAUGGAUAGAUUUCUUGAAUUUGAUGAAAGCAGUUCCUGUACUCCUCCUUUAUUGUCGCAGCGAUCUCUAGCUAAUAGACAGAAACAAGAUCUCCCAUCUGCGCUGAAAAUGGUAAAUGAGCUGAUAUUCACAAGCUUGUAAAGAAGAUAUGACGGUCGAAAUUUUCACCAAGGAGCCUCGGCUAAUGCAGGAACUGAUUGACCAAAACCAGAGUGACUUCAAACCUGUAGCAGGAACAAGUAAGACCCAGUUUUCACUUUUGCCAUCUUUUUGGUUUACUGAGGUUAAAAUUUUCUGUUUGGGGAAAAUUGAUAUUUCAGUGUUGGUCUCGUGAAUACUGUUUCUUUCGCUCUUUAGUGAAAGCGGUACUCUCCAAUCUGGUAACUCACAGCUCUUAUGUCAGUUACAGAUUCUUUGGAAACUACACAUUUCAGAUAAUGAAAGAAUCUGGUCUUUUCACUUCAAAAAGAGUCCUAAAAGAUGCUGAGGUUAAUCAACUAAUGUCCAUGCUUGUUAUCCUCUCCACCAGUCUUUCAGGUCUUUUUGCUGUUAAAUCCACCUACAAUUCAAUUAUGGUUCCCACUGCUGCUGCAAUAAAUUUCCCUUCCAAGACUACACGGAACCCGAAUGUGCCACCAAAAACCUCCUUUUAUUGGACUGCAUCCCUAGAAAAGAUUCCCACUCAAGAAAUUCAUGCUUGCUAGCAAAUGUGAGUAAGCGAAACACCUUCUCUUGAAAUGACAUUUAUCCAGGAAAGUCUGAUCUUGAAUUUUACCCAAUCGCAUCCCAUGGUAGCCAUCUCAGUCCCAUGCAACUUACUAUUUUUGGUCUUCUCAAGGCAUUCAAGGCCCUGCCAUCAAGAUCUGGGACCUAGUUCCGCAGCAGUCAUUUGGGCUAUCUGGACUGAGUGCAACAAACAAAUCUUUCAAGAUAAAGCUAUAUCCCAUUUCCAGAUCAAUGCUGAGAUCAAGGCAGCCCUUCUGGCAUGGGGUUCUGCCUUGAAAACAAACUUAUUGACUGGACUGGUGCAUUUUCUCUUGGGGAAGUAUGUUGCAUUGAGGAAUUGAACUGCUCUAACAUUUUCUCGGGGACCCAGGAAGACUUGAAGGAAAAGAGGCCCUUGUCCGGUCUUUUCUCUGAGGUUGUUGUAUUUGAUUGCUGGUAUGUUAUGUUUGUCCUAUCUCUGCAAGUUGCACCCUUGGCAGUAUUUUUGAUGCCACUAGCUAUGUUGGCGCCCGUGACAGCAUUUGCUAGCAAAGAGAUGUCAACUAACACAAGCUGAACGAAAAUGGAGUUACUCGGGUUGUAGCUCAGAACGUCAAACUGUUGAUGGACGAAAAAAGCACGAAAUAAUUCCGACACUAUGUUGUAUUAGAGGGGCGGCAAGGUUUAUUAGAAGGGCGGCAUUCCAAUAAGACAAAAAGGGUCAUUACAUGAUCAUUCAAGGUGUCCCUUAUCAAAAAACUGGAAAUGACAA